CCUACGGGUGGCAGCAGUGAGGAAUAUUGGUCAAUGGACGAGAGUCUGAACCAGCCAAGUAGCGUGAAGGAUGACUGCCCUCUGGGUUGUAAACUUCUUUUAUAAAGGAAUAAAACGAGGCACGUGUGCCUUUUUGCAUGUACUUUAUGAAUAAGGAUCGGCUAACUCCGGGCCAGCAGCCGCGGUAAUACGGAGGAUCCGAGCGUUAUCCGGCUUUAUUGGGUUUAAAGGGAGCGUAGAUGGGUUGUUAAGUUCAUUGUGAAAUUUUGAGGAUCAACCGUAAAAUUGCAAUUGAUACUGGCAGUCUUGAGUACAGUUGAGGUAGGCGGAAUUCGUGGUGUAGCGGUGAAAUGCUUAGAUAUCACGAAGAACCCCGAUUGCGAAGGCAGCUUACUAAACUGUGACUGACAUUGAUGCUCGAAAGUGUGGGUAUCAAACAGGAUUAGAUACCCCUGUAGUC
RNAcentral lists this ribosomal RNA (460 nucleotides) under uncultured bacterium. RNAcentral's name for it is "partial 16S ribosomal RNA". It matches the Rfam family "Bacterial small subunit ribosomal RNA", at positions 338 to 795 of the family's 1533-position model. The record is from RNAcentral.